GCCAGGCAUGGUGGUGCAUGCCUGCAAUCCCAGUGACUUGGGAGGCUGAGGCAAGAGGAUUGCAAGUUUGAGGCCAGCAUCAGCAACUUAGUGAGGCUGUAAGCAACAGAGCAAGACCCUGUCUCAA
RNAcentral lists this small RNA (127 nucleotides) under Marmota monax (woodchuck). Lineage: Eukaryota; Metazoa; Chordata; Mammalia; Rodentia; Sciuridae. The record is from RNAcentral.